Molecule: ribosomal RNA, 527 nt
Filed under: Bifidobacterium breve
Lineage: Bacteria; Bacillati; Actinomycetota; Actinomycetes; Bifidobacteriales; Bifidobacteriaceae
Description: bacterial SSU rRNA
Rfam family: Bacterial small subunit ribosomal RNA
Source: RNAcentral
UGGUAAUGCCGGAUGCUCCAGCUGAUCGCAUGGUCUUCUGGGAAAGCCUUUGCGGCAUGGGAUGGGGUCGCGUCCUAUCAGCUUGAUGGCGGGGUAACGGCCCACCAUGGCUUCGACGGGUAGCCGGCCUGAGAGGGCGACCGGCCACAUUGGGACUGAGAUACGGCCCAGACUCCUACGGGAGGCAGCAGUGGGGAAUAUUGCACAAUGGGCGCAAGCCUGAUGCAGCGACGCCGCGUGAGGGAUGGAGGCCUUCGGGUUGUAAACCUCUUUUGUUAGGGAGCAAGGCAUUUUGUGUUGAGUGUACCUUUCGAAUAAGCACCGGCUAACUACGUGCCAGCAGCCGCGGUAAUACGUAGGGUGCAAGCGUUAUCCGGAAUUAUUGGGCGUAAAGGGCUCGUAGGCGGUUCGUCGCGUCCGGUGUGAAAGUCCAUCGCUUAACGGUGGAUCCGCGCCGGGUACGGGCGGGCUUGAGUGCGGUAGGGGAGACUGGAAUUCCCGGUGUAACGGUGGAAUGUGUAGAUAUC